This 254-nucleotide ribosomal RNA is filed under the name uncultured bacterium. RNAcentral's name for it is "partial 16S ribosomal RNA". It matches the Rfam family "Bacterial small subunit ribosomal RNA", at positions 524 to 776 of the family's 1533-position model. The record is from RNAcentral.
UACGUAGGGUGCGAGCGUUGUCCGGAAUUAUUGGGCGUAAAGAGCUCGUAGGCGGUCUGUCGCGUCGGUCGUGAAAACUUGGGGCUUAACCCUGAGCUUGCGGUCGAUACGGGCAUGACUGGAGUUCGGUAGGGGAGACUGGAAUUCCUGGUGUAGCGGUGAAAUGCGCAGAUAUCAGGAGGAACACCGGUGGCGAAGGCGGGUCUCUGGGCCGAUACUGACGCUGAGGAGCGAAAGCUAGGGGAGCAAACGGG